This 460-nucleotide ribosomal RNA is filed under the name uncultured bacterium. RNAcentral's name for it is "partial 16S ribosomal RNA". It matches the Rfam family "Bacterial small subunit ribosomal RNA", at positions 338 to 795 of the family's 1533-position model. The record is from RNAcentral.
GCUACGGGAGGCAGCAGUGAGGAAUAUUGGUCAAUGGGCGCGAGCCUGAACCAGCCAAGUAGCGUGAAGGAUGACUGCCCUAAGGGUUGUAAACUUCUUUUAUAAAGGAAUAAAGUGAGGCACGUGUGCCUUUUUGUCUGUACUUUAUGAAUAAGGAUCGGCUAACUCCGUGCCAGCAGCCGCGGUAAUACGGAGGAUCCGAGCGUUAUCCGGCUUUAUUGGGUUUAAAGGGAGCGUAGAUGGGUUGUUAAGUCAGUUGUAAAAGUUUGCGGCUCAACCGUAAAAUUGCAAUUGAUACUGGCAGUCUUGAGUACAGGUGAGGUAGGCGGAAUUCGUGGUGUAGCGGUGAAAUGCUUAGAUAUCACGAAGAACUCCGAUUGCGAAGGCAGCUUACUAAACUGCCACUGACAUUGAUGCUCGAAAGUGUGGGUAUCAAACAGGAUUAGAUACCCGGGUAGUC